Molecule: ribosomal RNA, 346 nt
Filed under: uncultured eukaryote
Lineage: Eukaryota
Description: SSU rRNA
Rfam family: Eukaryotic small subunit ribosomal RNA
Source: RNAcentral
AUAGCGUAUAUUAAAGUUGUUGCAGUUAAAAAGCUCGUAGUUGAAUUUCGAGAUCAAAUUGUUGGUCGUGCCUUGGUACGCACUGGCAUUAUUGGUUUCUCCCUUCUGACGAACCAUGAUGUCAUUAAUUUGGUGUCUUGGGGAAUCAGGACUGUUACUUUGAAAAAAUUAGAGUGUUUAAAGCAGGCUCACGCUUGAAUACAUUAGCAUGGAAUAAUGAAAUAGGACGUUUGAUUCUAUUUUGUUGGUUUCUAGGAUCGACGUAAUGAUUAAUAGGGAUAGUUGGGGGCAUUAGUAUUCAAUUGUCAGAGGUGAAAUUCUUGGAUUUAUUGAAGACUAACUACUG